This 672-nucleotide ribosomal RNA is filed under the name uncultured Bacteroidales bacterium. Its description in RNAcentral is "bacterial SSU rRNA". It matches the Rfam family "Bacterial small subunit ribosomal RNA", at positions 87 to 758 of the family's 1533-position model. Lineage: Bacteria; Pseudomonadati; Bacteroidota; Bacteroidia; Bacteroidales. The record is from RNAcentral.
GAUGGCGACCGGCGCGCGGGUGAGUAACACGUAUCCAACCUGCCGAUAACUCGGGGAUAACCCUUCGAAAGAAGGCCUAAUACCCGAUGGCAUAUCCCUUCCGCCUGGUGGGGAUAUUAAAGAACUUCGGUUAUCGAUGGGGAUGCGUUCCAUUAGCUUGUUGGCGGGGUAACGGCCCACCAAGGCUUCGAUGGAUAGGGGUUCUGAGAGGAAGGUCCCCCACAUUGGAACUGAGACACGGUCCAAACUCCUACGGGAGGCAGCAGUGAGGAAUAUUGGUCAAUGGACGAGAGUCUGAACCAGCCAAGUAGCGUGAAGGAUGAAGGUCCUAUGGAUUGUAAACUUCUUUUAUACGGGAAUAAAGUGCAGUAUGCAUACUGUUUUGUAUGUACCGUAUGAAUAAGGAUCGGCUAACUCCGUGCCAGCAGCCGCGGUAAUACGGAGGAUCCGAGCGUUAUCCGGAUUUAUUGGGUUUAAAGGGAGCGUAGGCGGAUGCUUAAGUCAGUUGUGAAAGUUUGCGGCUCAACCGUAAAAUUGCAGUUGAUACUGGGCGUCUUGAGUACAGUAGAGGCAGGCGGAAUUCGUGGUGUAGCGGUGAAAUGCUUAGAUAUCACGAAGAACUCCGAUUGCGAAGGCAGCCUGCUGGACUGUCACUGACGCUGAUGCUCGAAA